This 960-nucleotide ribosomal RNA is filed under the name Fructilactobacillus sanfranciscensis. Its description in RNAcentral is "bacterial SSU rRNA". It matches the Rfam family "Bacterial small subunit ribosomal RNA", at positions 377 to 1331 of the family's 1533-position model. Lineage: Bacteria; Bacillati; Bacillota; Bacilli; Lactobacillales; Lactobacillaceae. The record is from RNAcentral.
CGAAGUCUGAUGGAGCACGCCGCGUGAGUGAAGAAGGGUUUCGGCUCGUAAAACUCUGUUGUUAGAGAAGAACAGCCGUGAGAGCAACUGCUCACGGUAUGACGGUAUCUAACCAGAAAGUCACGGCUAACUACGUGCCAGCAGCCGCGGUAAUACGUAGGUGGCAAACGUUGUCCGGAUUUAUUGGGCGUAAAGGGAGCGCAGGCGGUUUAUUAAGUCUGAUGUGAAAGCCUUCGGCUUAACCGGAGAAGUGCAUCGGAAACUGAUAAACUUGAGUGCAGAAAAGGAUAGUGGAACUUCAUGUGUAGCGGUGAAAUGCGUAGAUAUAUGAAGGAACACCAGUGGCGAAGGCGGCUAUCUGGUCUGUAACUGACGCUGAGGCUCGAAAGCAUGGGUAGCAAACAGGAUUAGAUACCCUGGUAGUCCAUGCCGUAAACGAUGAAUGCUAGGUGUUGGAAGGUUUCCGCCUUUCAGUGCCGCAGCUAACGCAUUAAGCAUUCCGCCUGGGGAGUACGACCGCAAGGUUGAAACUCAAAGGAAUUGACGGGGACCCGCACAAGCGGUGGAGCAUGUGGUUUAAUUCGAUGCUACGCGAAGAACCUUACCAGGACUUGACAUCUUCUGCCAAUCUAAGAGAUUAGACGUUCCCUUCGGGGACAGAAUGACAGGUGGUGCAUGGUUGUCGUCAGCUCGUGUCGUGAGAUGUUGGGUUAAGUCCCGCAACGAGCGCAACCCUUGUCUUUAGUUGCCAGCAUUAAGUUGGGCACUCUAGAGAGACUGCCGGUGAUAAACCGGAGGAAGGUGGGGAUGACGUCAAAUCAUCAUGCCCCUUAUGUCCUGGGCUACACACGUGCUACAAUGGGCGAUACAACGAGUUGCGAAACCGCGAGGUCAAGCUAAUCUCUUAAAGUCGUUCUCAGUUCGGAUUGCAGUCUGCAACUCGACUGCAUGAAGUUGGAA